AGAGUUUGAUCCUGGCUCAGGACGAACGCUGGCGGCACGCUUAACACAUGCAAGUCGAACGAGAGAAGAGGAGCUUGCUUUUCUGAUCUAGUGGCGGACGGGUGAGUAACGCGUGAGCAAUCUGCCUUUCAGAGGGGGAUACCGAUUGGAAACGAUCGUUAAUACCGCAUAACAUAAUUGAACCGCAUGAUUUGAUUAUCAAAGAUUUAUCGCUGAAAGAUGAGCUCGCGUCUGAUUAGCUAGUUGGUAAGGUAACGGCUUACCAAGGCGACGAUCAGUAGCCGGACUGAGAGGUUGAUCGGCCACAUUGGGACUGAGACACGGCCCAGACUCCUACGGGAGGCAGCAGUGGGGAAUAUUGCACAAUGGAGGAAACUCUGAUGCAGCGAUGCCGCGUGAGGGAAGAAGGUUUUAGGAUUGUAAACCUCUGUCUUCAGGGACGAAAAAAGACGGUACCUGAGGAGGAAGCUCCGGCUAACUACGUGCCAGCAGCCGCGGUAAUACGUAGGGAGCGAGCGUUGUCCGGAAUUACUGGGUGUAAAGGGAGCGUAGGCGGGAUCGCAAGUCAGAUGUGAAAACUAUGGGCUUAACCCAUAAACUGCAUUUGAAACUGUGGUUCUUGAGUGAAGUAGAGGUAAGCGGAAUUCCUAGUGUAGCGGUGUAAUGCGUAGAUAUUAGGAGGAACAUCAGUGGCGAAGGCGGCUUACUGGGCUUUAACUGACGCUGAGGCUCGAAAGCGUGGGGAGCUAACAGGAUUAGGUACCCUGGUAGUCCACGCCGUAAACGAUGAUUACUAGGUGCGGGGGGACUGACCCCUUCCGUGCCGCAGCAAACGCAAUAAGUAAUCCACCUGGGGAGUACGACCGCAAGGUUGAAACUCAAAGGAAUUGACGGGGGCCCGCACAAGCAGUGGAGUAUGUGGAUUAAUUCGAAGCAACGCGAAGAACCUUACCAGGUCUUGACAUCGUAUGCAUAGCUCAGAGAUGAGUGAAAUCUCUUCGGAGACAUAUAGACAGGUGGUGCAUGGUUGUCGUCAGCUCGUGUCGUGAAAUGUUGGGUUAAGUCCCGCAACGAGCGCAACCCUUACUGUUAGUUGCUACGCAAGAGCACUCUAGCAGGACUGCCGUUGACAAAACGGAGGAAGGUGGGGAUGACGUCAAAUCAUCAUGCCCCUUAUGACCUGGGCCUCACACGUACUACAAUGGCUGUCAACAGAGGGAGGCAAAGCCGCGAGGUGGAGCGAACCCCUAAAAGCAGUCUUAGUUCGGAUUGUAGGCUGCAACCCGCCUACAUGAAGUCGGAAUUGCUAGUAAUCGCAGAUCAGCAUGCUGCGGUGAAUACGUUCCCGGGCCUUGUACACACCGCCCGUCACGCCAUGGGGGUCGGUAACACCCGAAGCCUGUAGUCUAACCGCAAGGAGGACGCAGUCGAAGGUGGGAUUGAUGACUGGGGUGAAGUCGUAACAAGGUA
RNAcentral lists this ribosomal RNA (1470 nucleotides) under metagenome. RNAcentral describes it as "bacterial SSU rRNA". It matches the Rfam family "Bacterial small subunit ribosomal RNA". The record is from RNAcentral.